This 174-nucleotide unclassified non-coding RNA is filed under the name Sarocladium pseudostrictum. RNAcentral describes it as "partial internal transcribed spacer 2". Lineage: Eukaryota; Fungi; Ascomycota; Sordariomycetes; Hypocreales; Sarocladiaceae. The record is from RNAcentral.
CAACCCUCAGGCCCACCCUUCCGGGGGAGCGGGCCUGGUUCUGGGGAUCGGCGGCCCUCCGGGGCCCCCGUCCCUCAAACUCAGUGGCGGUCGCGCCGCAGCCUCCCCUGCGUAGUAGCACAACCUCGCACCGGAGAGCGGAACGACCACGCCGUGAAACCCCCCAUUUCUCAA